GACAAGGUACGAUAAGGCCUGUUUUUGCCCCCCCUUACUUUCUCAUUUUUCUAAAUAUAUUAACAUUAUUUUUUAACAUAAUAAGCUUUCCAAAAUGAGAAAAUAGGGGGGGGGGGGGGCAAAAAAGGCCUUAUCGUACCUUGUC
Molecule: small RNA, 145 nt
Filed under: Mytilus galloprovincialis (Mediterranean mussel)
Lineage: Eukaryota; Metazoa; Mollusca; Bivalvia; Mytilida; Mytilidae
Source: RNAcentral